Molecule: RNA transcript, 2423 nt
Organism: Panicum hallii
Lineage: Eukaryota; Viridiplantae; Streptophyta; Magnoliopsida; Poales; Poaceae
Exons: 4
Source: RefSeq, a predicted model, not a curated record
UCCCCUCUCUUCUUCCCCGCCGUGCGCCCGUCCCCAUUUCCCUCUCCACCGCACCGUCCGCACUACCGCAAAGCGCAGAGAAGAAACCGCAUCGGCGAUCCACCAAUCCCCAUUUCGAUCUGCGGGCAUGGCCUCCUCCUCAACCACCACCACCACCGACGCCAGCUCCUGCCAGUGGGACGCCCUCCCGGCGCACCUCCAGGAGCGAAUCCUCUCCCUCAUCCCCGUCACCGAGCUGCUCCCCGUCGCCGCCGCCUCCCGCGCUCUCCGCCGCCUCCUCCGCUACCCGGCAUUCCACGCCCUCUUGUCCCCGCACCGCCUCGACGCCUUCUUCCUCCUCACCCCACGGCUUGCCGUCCACCCACUCUCCCGCCGCGUCCUCCGCACGCCCCCUCUCGCUGCGCUCUGCCCCCCUUCCUAUCCGCUCGUCUCCUCCGCGUCCCCCUCCCGCCUCAUCACCUACACCACGCUCCACUUCCUCCCGCCGAUCCCCGACGGCUCCUACCUCCUCUCCGUCGUCGUCAAGCCGCCCCCAUCCUCCUCCUGCAUCCUCGUCGCCGUCACCACCGGCGCGGCCGUGCGAUCCUACACCCUAGACACCGCUGAUCCCUCCCGGCUGUGGGCGUCUAGAGGCGAUGUCCCGGUUUCUAUUUCGCUCUUGGGAAACGCCGCAGUCUCCGGCGACCGAAGACAGCUCUUCGUCCUCGGCCGCGGCCCCGACGCACUCUUGGUGUUCGAUCUCGCGACGGGGACAUGGAAGGUGCUGCCGGUUGUGAUGCCACAAGGUCUCACUACGGCGCACCUGUUUGUGUACGAUGGCAAGCUGUUCGUGGUUGGCGGGGUGGAGAGAUUGGGGGAGGUGGAACGGGUGGUGGUAUGGCGGCUGGAGGACGAGAAGGAAGCGAUGGUAUGGAGGGAGGUGGGUGUGAUACCAGCAGAGGUGUUCGACGAGUUGGUGGCUGGUCGGCAUGGCAGUUUCUGGCAUUUUCAGGCCGCUGACAGAUUGGGGAUUCUUUGCUUGUACAAUGCUGUGGAUGGGAGGCUGGUCAUGUUUGAUGCAGCCGAUGGUUUGUGGACAGUGCUGCCACGAGUGUCCGGAUUGGAUGCAGAGGAGAGUGGCCGGUGGUUUGGACAUGUCCUGGAGCCAGAAGUUGAGCUGUUGCUGGGACAACGCCGCCCGGUGAUUAUAAGCACUAUGUGAAGAUGAUCUUUCCCAGGAGUCCAAGAUCCAAGAAACUACAUGGGAUGUCAUCCGCUGCCUCCAAUCCAUCCUCUACACCAGUGGACAAGCCACCACUUAAGAGGAAUUCCGAUGACAUAGGGUGGGAGUAUGGAAUUUUUGUUAAUCCAGCUGACUUGAAUGUGAUAAAAUGCAAUCUAUGUACUAUAGUUGUGAAGGCUGGGAUUUAUAGACUCAAGCUACAUAUUGCUGGCAUAAAAGGGCAAGUCCGGGCAUGCCCCAAUGCGACUCCAGAGGAUAGAGAGAAGUGCAAGAAAGCAAUUGAAGAUUCCAGGAAAGCUAAAAUGGCUAGGCUAUCAGAAAAACAAGAGGUAAGAGAUGCCGUUGCGGAUGAGAUGGACACAGAUGAUGGCACAGGCCUUGAUGACGUUGGCAGCUCUGAACCACGGGCAGUGGGUCCUAUGGACAAGUUCACAAUGCCUCCUAGUUCUUUAGGUUCCACACAAAGAAACCUUCACCAGCAAAAAAUUUCUGAACAUCGGUUGCACAAGUUGAAGAGACAUAUUGCAAGAUGGAUGUAUGUGCAAGGAAUACCUUUCAAUGCGAUAAAUUGUGAUGAGUUUGACCAAGUGUUGGAAGCUGUAGGCCGCUUUGGGCCAGGUGCAAAGAAGCCUUAUCAAUAUGAGCUGCGGGAGAAACUACUGCACGAGGAAGUGGACGAUACAAAGAAGAUGGUUGCAGAUCAUGCACAAGAAUGGAAAAGAACUGGGUGCUCUAUUAUGACUGAUGCCUGGACAGAUCAAAAGAGGAGGAGCAUCAUGAACUUGUGUGUUAAUUCUUGCAUUGGAACAUCUUUUGUUGAGUCAAGGGAAGUCUCAGCUGAGUCACACACAGGGGAAUUCAUUUUUGAGUUUGUGGACAGCUUUAUUGAGAAGCUUGGGGCUGGGGCGGAACACGUUGUGCAAGUGGUCACAGACAAUGCUUCAAAUAACAUGGCAGCCAAGGACCUGCUUUAUAUCAAGAGACCCCAUAUAUUUUGGAGUUCAUGUGCCAACCACACUAUAAACCUGAUGCUUGAAGGAAUUGGGAAGAUGAAAAAGUUCAAAGACCAUACUUGAUUCAGCAAAAGAUCUAACCAUAUUUAUUUAUGCUAACCACAAUACGUUGUCUUUGAUGAGGAAAUUCAUAAAGAAGAGAGACAUAAUUAGGCCAGGUGUGACUAGAUUUGCCUCAGCCUUUCUAA